Molecule: long non-coding RNA, 3037 nt
Filed under: Sus scrofa (pig)
Lineage: Eukaryota; Metazoa; Chordata; Mammalia; Artiodactyla; Suidae
Description: lncRNA (ENSSSCG00000055612.1)
Source: RNAcentral
AUAAUCUACCUUUUUUAGUGUACAGUGUUCUGGAUUUUGGCAAGUGCAUAUGGUCAUGUAACCACAGUAAUGAUAAGGAACAUUUUCAUCGCCCCAAACUGUUCCCCUCCCGUUAGCCUCAGCACACUUUGACCUGUUUUAUAGUGCUGUGGUUCUGCUUUUGCCCAAAUGUCAUAUAAAUGCAACUGUGUGGUCUGUAACCUUUUGAAUCUGGCUUCUUUCAUUUAAAUUUAACAUAACGCAUUUGAGAUCCAUCCAUGCUCAAGUGUAUCACUAAUCUGUUCCUGCUUAUGGCUGUCUUACUCCAGUGUAUGAGUGUACUACAGUUUGUCUACGAGUUGGAGGACAUGUGGGUUAUCUCCAGUUCUUUGGUGGGGAUGGUCUUAGAAUUAUUAUUAUUAAAACAGUGUUAACCUCACAGACUCCCUAAAAGACUCUCAGGGGCCAAGACCCCUCUCUGGGCAUCUCUGGCCACCCUGAACUGUGUGCCUGGUUGUGAUGUGCCCCUGUCUAGAACGUCAAGAUCUAGCUUAAGGGUUUGCUUCACACUGCCCUUUCUAGGCCUCUUCUCACUGUCACCCCUACACACCUUCAUGCCCUAAGGGUGGGCUGGUCACCACCUGCAUGGCUGUUAUUUGAGGACCUGGGAUCAUCUUCUCUGUCCCAGCACAUGUCUGAUGUCUGAUACACAGAUGUAUUCCCUCUCCGAUUAGACCCCUAGCCUGGGAACCUCCAUUAUGCUGCAGGUGCAGCUCUAGAAAAGACAAAAAAAAAAAUCCUAAUCUCUGGAGGUCAGGUUUAGGUAUUAGUAUUUUUUAAAAGCAUUACUGUUGAAUCUCAUGUGCAGCCACAAGAGUUUGCUUUACUGUGAAGUCGUAGUGGUGAUGUAGUCAAGACUAGAACCCAGGUCUCUGGUGCCUUUACCUCCACACUACACACUUUCACGUGAAGGGAAGCACUAAGAGGUUUAGAGAACUUUGGUAUAGAUGCCAGAGUUUCGAUUUAUGGAGGAAAUGUCACGCAGGAAGCUCAACACCGAAUUGAGAGUCAGGGGACCAUGUUUCCGUUUUGGCUCUGCAUUUAUUAACUGUGGAUUAAUAAAUACAUGAGUCUGUUCUCACUUGUAAAGUAAGGAUACUGUCUUAAAUUCUAGACGCUAUUAUAGGGAUCAAAUUAGAUGAUGUGUUACAUGAUUUUAAAGGAUUUAUUUAAAGGGUUACAAAAUCCUUUUGUAAACUAUGAAGUGCUGUCUAAAACUUAUUUUUACUUGAUUUUAACCCAGUGUAUUUAUUGGCUAGCUUUCCUGGCAGUUCAUAAAUUACACAAGUAAUACAUAAAUAGAGUCUCACUGAAAUGGUUAAAUAACAGAAUUAUGCAGAGUAAAACCAAGAGGUCACCAUGGGUCACAUUCUUUCAAUCCUUUGUGUAUGCAUUUAAGUGCAUAAAUAUGUAUGUAUGUAAUGUAAGUUAUUUUUUUUUGGUUGUCUUAACAUAAAUAGUCUUACUUUUUUUUUUUUAACUUGACAACAUGUCUUAGAUCAUUCCAUAUUAGGAUGUAUAAAUCCCUCUCUUUUUAUAGCUGCAUAUUUUUUCUUGUUUCCAAAUAGAUGGACAUUGAGCCCAUGUUCCACUUUUUUAAAAAUGCUGAUAAACAUUCCGAGCUCUUCUUUAAUUCAUUCUUUUUUAUUUUUUCAUUUUUAAAAACUAUGAAGUAUAGUUGGCUUAUAAUGUGUUAAUUUCUGCUGUAUAGCACAGUGAUCUGUUAAAUAUAUAUAUAUUCUUUUUCAUAUUUUUUCUGUUAUGGUUUAUUGCAGGAUAUUGAAUAUAGUUCCCUGUGCUCUACAGUAGGACCUUGUUAUUUGUCCAUCUGAUAUAUAAUAGAUUGCAUCGCCUAAUCCCAAACUCCCAAUCCUCCCCCCCCACCACGCCCAGGCUAAAACAUUAGUUUAUUCUUUUGAAAAGAUUUAUUCUGUUUUCAAGGUAUUGGGAGAUGAGGUAGUAAAUGUCUUUAUCUUAGACAAUGUCUAUUCAAGUCAGAAUAGAACUAAGAGUUUCUAAAAAAGAUGGUAAAAUAUACUAGACCUUGCAGAACUUUUUUAUAUGUUUUUCUAUGUUUUGUUUUAUUUUUAUGGUAUUCUUAUUUCACUAUUUGGAUAGACUUUCAAAGACCAAUGUGUACUGCUUAAGUUUAACCUCUUUGGUUGUGAUUACUCUAUACUUUUCUUUCAGUAAAAACAGCACAAUGAUAAUGGCUAGUACUUACUUGUUGUGCCAGCACUGUGCCUAGAGCUUAUUAUAUCCAUGGUCUCAUUUCUUCCUCUCAGUAACUCAGUGGUGUUCUCCAGGUGAAGUAUAUAGGAAUGGAGAGUCAGAGUGGUCAAGUCACCUGUCCAAGGUUACUUAUGGAUAUAGGAUUCAAAGGUCCUGCUUCCAACUCUGAUGUCAGGAUUUUGCUGAAUCAGAAAUGGUACUUUGUAUCUGUGACAUCACAGUUUACUUUCUAAAUUACUUAUAUUUAUUUAUUUUUAAAUACCAGUAAUAAUUUCACAUAUAUAGAAAUAGUUCAUGCUCUGGAGUAUUCAUUUUGUAGAAAGUAUUUACAAUAAAAGCAAUAUAUUAAUGUAACAUCAUAAAGGCAAAUGUGUAUUGAAUUUAAUAGUAAGAAUGGUACUUUGGAGUGAAAAAGGCCACUAAAUGAGAAGUUGAUCUUGAAUUCUGUUUACCAGCUAACAGUGACUUUGAUAAAAUAAUCCUUUUUAAUCACUGGUAAAGUAGUUCACUUUACAUUUAAUCAGUUAUCAAGCCUGAGUAAUGAUAGUGUGUGUAAGAAAUACUUACAUGGAGUUCCUCCUGCGACGCAACAGGAUUGGCAGUGUCUCUGGAGCACUGCGACGCAGGUUCGGUCCCUGACCUGGCACAGUGGGUUAAGGAUCUGGCAUUCCUGCAGCUAUGGCAUAGGUUGCAACUGUGGCUCAGGUUGCAGCUGUGGCUCAGAUCUGAUCUCUGACCUAGGAACUCCAUAUGCUGUGGGGCAACC